Molecule: ribosomal RNA, 374 nt
Filed under: uncultured organism
Description: partial 16S ribosomal RNA
Rfam family: Bacterial small subunit ribosomal RNA
Source: RNAcentral
GUAGGUGGCAAGCGUUGUCCGGAAUUAUUGGGCGUAAAGCGCGCGCAGGCGGUUCUUUAAGUCUGAUGUUAAAGCCCACGGCUCAACCGUGGAGGGUCAUUGGAAACUGGAGAACUUGAGUACAGAAGAGGAAAGCGGAAUUCCACGUGUAGCGGUGAAAUGCGUAGAGAUGUGGAGGAACACCAGUGGCGAAGGCGGCUUUCUGGUCUGUAACUGACGCUGAGGCGCGAAAGCGUGGGGAGCAAACAGGGAUUAGAUACCCAGGUAGUCCACGCCGUAAACGAUGAGUGCUAAGUGUUAGGGGGGUUUCCGCCCCCUUAGUGCUGCAGCUAACGCAUUAAGCACUCCGCCUGGGGAGUACGGCCGCAAGGCUG